This 977-nucleotide ribosomal RNA is filed under the name human gut metagenome. Its description in RNAcentral is "bacterial SSU rRNA". It matches the Rfam family "Bacterial small subunit ribosomal RNA", at positions 43 to 1029 of the family's 1533-position model. The record is from RNAcentral.
CGUGCCUAACACAUGCAAGUCGAGCGGAGACAGUGAGUAGCUUGCUAUGAGCUGUUUUAGCGGCGGACGGGUGAGUAACGCGUGAGCAACCUUUCCCAGACAGGGGAAUAACACACCGAAAGGUGUACUAAUACCGCAUAAGACCACGGGAUCACAUGGUUCUGGGGUAAAAGAUUUAUCGGUUUGGGGUGGGCUCGCGUCCGAUUAGGUAGUUGGUGAGGUAACGGCCCACCAAGCCGACGAUCGGUAGCCGACCUGAGAGGGUGAUCGGCCACAUUGGGACUGAGACACGGCCCAAACUCCUACGGGAGGCAGCAGUGGGGAAUAUUGGGCAAUGGGGGGAACCCUGACCCAGCAACGCCGCGUGGAGGAAGAAGGUUUUCGGAUCGUAAACUCCUGUCCUUGGAGACGAGUAGAAGACGGUAUCCAAGGAGGAAGCCCCGGCUAACUACGUGCCAGCAGCCGCGGUAAUACGUAGGGGGCAAGCGUUGUCCGGAAUAAUUGGGCGUAAAGGGCGCGUAGGCGGCUCGGUAAGUCUGGAGUGAAAGUCCUGCUUUUAAGGUGGGAAUUGCUUUGGAUACUGUCGGGCUUGAGUGCAGGAGAGGUUAGUGGAAUUCCCAGUGUAGCGGUGAAAUGCGUAGAGAUUGGGAGGAACACCAGUGGCGAAGGCGACUAACUGGACUGUAACUGACGCUGAGGCGCGAAAGUGUGGGGAGCAAACAGGAUUAGAUACCCUGGUAGUCCACACUGUAAACGAUGAAUGCUAGGUGUAGGGGGUAUCGACCCCUUCUGUGCCGCAGUCAACACAAUAAGCAUCCCGCCUGGGGAGUACGGCCGCAAGGUUGAAACUCAAAGGAAUUGACGGGGGCCCGCACAAGCAGCGGAGCAUGUGGUUUAAUUCGAAGCAACGCGAAGAACCUUACCAGGUCUUGACAUCCACUUAAACUUACAGAGAUGUAAGGUGUGCUUGCACAAAG